RNAcentral lists this ribosomal RNA (496 nucleotides) under uncultured bacterium. RNAcentral's name for it is "partial 16S ribosomal RNA". It matches the Rfam family "Bacterial small subunit ribosomal RNA", at positions 29 to 507 of the family's 1533-position model. The record is from RNAcentral.
AUGAACGCUGGCGGCGUGCCUAAUACAUGCAAGUCGAGCGAACAGACGAGGAGCUUGCUCCUCUGACGUUAGCGGCGGACGGGUGAGUAACACGUGGAUAACCUACCUAUAAGACUGGGAUAACUUCGGGAAACCGGAGCUAAUACCGGAUAAUAUAUUGAACCGCAUGGUUCAAUAGUGAAAGACGGUUUUGCUGUCACUUAUAGAUGGAUCCGCGCCGCAUUAGCUAGUUGGUAAGGUAACGGCUUACCAAGGCGACGAGGCGUAGCCGACCUGAGAGGGGGAUCGGCCACCCUGGAACUGGGCCACGGUCCAGACUCCUACGGGAGGCAGCAGUAGGGAAUCUUCCGCAAUGGGCGAAAGCCUGACGGAGCAACGCCGCGUGAGUGAUGAAGGUCUUCGGAUCGUAAAACUCUGUUAUUAGGGAAGAACAAAUGUGUAAGUAACUAUGCACGUCUUGACGGUACCUAAUCAGAAAGCCACGGCUAACUACGUG